CCUCCUUUUCUUGGCACUCAGAGUGUUGCCCGUACCUCUGUGUGAUAUGUACGGAGGUAGAUCAUACCCGGUGCUAUGUCUUCGGUGCUAGCUCGACGCCAUGGGCUGGUUCUAUCCUCAAUCGCUGGGACACGU
Small nucleolar RNA from Spea bombifrons (plains spadefoot toad), 135 nucleotides. RefSeq annotates it as small nucleolar RNA SNORA57. NCBI's taxonomy places the organism in Eukaryota, Metazoa, Chordata, Amphibia, Anura, Pelobatidae. The record is from RefSeq and is a predicted model, not a curated record. The transcript has a single exon.